This 113-nucleotide ribosomal RNA is filed under the name Podosphaera xanthii. Its description in RNAcentral is "partial 28S ribosomal RNA". It matches the Rfam family "Eukaryotic large subunit ribosomal RNA", at positions 1 to 112 of the family's 3401-position model. Lineage: Eukaryota; Fungi; Ascomycota; Leotiomycetes; Helotiales; Erysiphaceae. The record is from RNAcentral.
AUGACCUCGGAUCAKGUAGGGAUACCCGCUGAACUUAAGCAUAUCAAUAAGCGGAGGAAAAGAAACCAACAGGGAUUACCUCAGUAACGGCGAGUGAAUCGGCAUAUUUACGG